This is a long non-coding RNA of Oreochromis niloticus (Nile tilapia), 2593 nucleotides long. RefSeq lists it as uncharacterized. NCBI's taxonomy places the organism in Eukaryota, Metazoa, Chordata, Actinopteri, Cichliformes, Cichlidae. The transcript has 3 exons. The record is from RefSeq and is a predicted model, not a curated record.
CUAUACUGAAAACCACAGCGCUCCAGGCAUAAAACACAGCAGGGCUCCAUAUGAGCUAGGAAUGGCCUUUCUGUAUGCCUAAUGAGAUGUUCUCACCUGUGCUCUAGCAGGAUAAUGCAACAUAAGCGACUGGGGAAUUACGGAAAAAUAAUCAAUAACACAAAUAAAUGUUUGCUGCUCGGUACACACAUGCACACACUGCCGACCAGAAGCAUGACCCUGAGAUAUGAAGAAUGCGAACACUUGUAGGGAAAAGGAUUACUGAUGAGGAGCUAUUCAUUGUGUAUAAUUGAGACUCUUUCCCAUUCAAGAGACAUGAGAGUAGAGGCCCAACAUGUGCCUUUAGGCUGAGCAGAGGAGAAGCCACGGUGCACACAUGGACAGGGGAAGAUAAGAGACUAUGUACACAAGCUGCUGGUUUUAUUGCUGCAACAUAACGCUCGGAUAGCAUUUUAAACACAUUUUCAGAAAACCUGCCAGCGCCGUCCUCGCUGCCGUGGAACCGUGCCACGCUGCUGAAAUGUGUCAUUGGGCUCAAUUUCUCACCUAAUUUCAACCGAACGGAAAAUGGCACUUUGGUGACAGCAAUGAGGCUGACCAGGAGGAGAUGUGAGUGGCAAAUGCCGUAAAAGACAAAUCUCCACGGUGCACUCGGUGGCACGUCGCCGAACGAAGGCACGGCUGAUAUGAUAGCUAUCAUCAUUUCCGUAUCUAUGAUCCUCAAACAAGGCCCUCUCCCCCUCCACACGUCACAUAGCCUCGGGUCCAAUGGCGCACUGUGCCGUCACACGUGAUAAUGACACCCACAUCAACGUGUCAACUCAAUUUGGCCCUCUUAUAGGCUCUCUUUGACUCAAUCAAUGCAUGGCCUUCCAUCUGGGUUCCACUCCUGUCCUCACAUUAGAGGAGUGGGGACGGACAGACAUUUUACUAACGGCUCACUAUACCUGCCCCCACUCUCCACCCUUGGACAUCUGCAGUUUAACAUCACAUAUUACAUAUUUUCUUUAAACUAAUAAUCCAACAACUUUCUCAGACCGUGCAGCAAAGUCAAAAGCACCCUGUCAAGUAGGCUACAAAGGCUUCAAACACAAAUCAAAAACCAAGUCAUGCCGGGUCAAUAACUGUGAGCUGAACAGAUCAUUAACUGUGGCGAUAAAUUUGCCAAGUUUUUCUUCUUCUUCUUCUUUUUUUUUAAUUUGAAAAUCCCAUCUUACAAGGCAUUCCAAUAAAUAUCAGGCAGGCACAUUUCUAGCUCGUUAAAAUUUAAUCCAAUUAAAUCCCUAUUUAAAACAAAGUUACACCUCCACAACAACCAAGCACAGAGGCUGUUAUCUUGGACUGCAGCUCAUUAUUUCUCAGAGAGGCUCGUCUGGCUGACAGUGUGGUAGACUGGGACAUCCAGUAAACAUCUGUCAUGAAGCAUCCUUACAGGGGAGCACAGACACAGUAAGCUACUGAUCCAGUGACCCGACAGUGCAGGCAUUCACACAUGCCUUGGUGCACCUGCGUGUGAGCCUCUGCUAUCGUCAUGUUUAGGCCAAUUUUAAGGAUUUGUGCUUAUAAACCGUUUAUGAAUCAUUUAUUCGCCAUCACAGUGGAGGGGCCUAGAGAGAUGAUGUGUUAUCCCAUUAGGUUUCAAUAGCUCAUUCAUGAAUCAUUCAUCAGUUUGGACUAUAGAUUAUUCCCCCUUUAUUCAUUUCUUAUUCAUUUUGGGCCAGUAUACUGCUCGGGAUGCAUUACGUUGCUUCAAAAUGACGUCCACAGGCCAGCGUUUGCCUUCAAAACAUGCAAACAGUGCAAGGGAGAAGGUAAUCGAUGGAGCAGAGACGAAUGAAUGUAGGCUACGACAGCUGUCCCAAGGAGGCCAAGGCGUACAACAUGCUUCAGGCUGAAGGCGGGUGAUUGCACAGGGUGGAAGGUGUAGGAGGAUGACUGCCGAACCCUAUGCAAGUUGUCAGCGUGCUAAAUAGGUUAGGCGACCCACAGUACUGCUGACUCUAGCCUUGGACUGUGGGCUCUGCCAGUUUUACAGGUGGGACAAAGGACUCACCCUUCCCUGCUUUAACUUUAUAUACAGUUGUAUACUGCAGACAGAUCUCUUGGAUCUUUGAUUGUAGUGUUUGCCUAAUAAACCAGAAUAAAAUUCUCCCUGGAGGUGGUCUUUUUGCUCAUAGCAGUGACUGUCGGUCAUAUCUAGAAUCUGUGUAUUACACAUCCGGCUCUCUAAAAUUAGAGUUUGCUGUUGCUAAUGACAAAGACUUCCAUCAGAUGUACACAACAAGGAAAGGCAGCAAAAAGCAAAUGUUCAACAUUUUUGCACAAUGGACUGAAACAUGAAGUGUCAGCUGUCAGUUUGUAAAACAGUUAGUCAUUAAAUUAAUUGGUUGGUAUAAUAAUGACAAUUAUGGUUUCAUACUGUUUAAUGAAUAACAAAUACUAAACACUUCUUCUUUCAGCCCCUGAAAUAUGAUGAUUUGAUGAUAGUCUGAAAAAUAAAGGGUCUGAUUUCGAGAACUUCUGGUGGAUAUUUUUAUUUGUUUUCUAAUAUUUUACAAACAAAACUUCUCUCCUGAUUGAUUCAUUUUUCACU